RNAcentral lists this non-coding RNA (23 nucleotides) under Arabidopsis thaliana (thale cress). Lineage: Eukaryota; Viridiplantae; Streptophyta; Magnoliopsida; Brassicales; Brassicaceae. The record is from RNAcentral.
GGAUGUUCCUUUUGUGUGGUCAC